Molecule: long non-coding RNA, 4467 nt
Filed under: Phocoena sinus (vaquita)
Lineage: Eukaryota; Metazoa; Chordata; Mammalia; Artiodactyla; Phocoenidae
Description: lncRNA (ENSPSNG00000001029.1)
Source: RNAcentral
GAAUUCUUAGUAGUAAUGAUCAGAGGUGUCCUAGAAGCACAGAGGUCUUCACACAGGGACAAUUUUGGGUUCCUCAGGGGAGAAUUUUCACCCUUUAGAGGGAGCUGGGUCCUACCUGCAGUUCUCUUCCAUCCCAGACCAAGCUCCAGAAACAGUGGGCUGCUUGAUGUGCUGGAAUCUGUGCAGUCACUGAGUCCAGGGUGUGGACAGGUGCCUCCAUUUCUUUGAAGAAUCCUGGUAGAUGAAGUCGUAUGACCUGCUGGUGGUUGUGGGAGAAUCAAUCUCAUGAAUUAUUGGAUGUGUUAUGAUCUGUGAAGAACACCUUAAACUAAGAAUACUGGUGCUUCCAUAGCAAGCAUUUUAUCUCCCACCUGAGUGACCCAAGUUUGAGUGCAGGCCAAAACGUACAACUGUUUUUCUUCUUUCUGCACCAUAGUGGCUUCAUUACUACCUCUAUUAAGUCUUUAUUGCAAAGGCAAGUCUCAUCAAAGAUCCAACAGGCAGGGGCAACACAGCCUAGGUAAGGGAGGGAAAGAAUAAAAUGGACAGUGUUUGGGGAACAAAAAUUAUUGAAGACCAUUUCUAAACAGUAACGUGACAGCCUUGGGACUGGGAUAGGGCUAUGAUCAUGGAAAGAUUAGUGCCUGGCAUGAGUUACACAACUGUUCCUCUGGGGUGCAUUUUCCAAGGCAGGAAGUAAGUUUCGGUGUGUUGCUGGGACAUGUAAUAUUUGGAGCUAAAAUCCUUGCUACACUCAUGUGUAUAACCUCUGACACCAUGACAUCACCUACUAACAAAUGAGUGUCCUAGAAUAUGAGGAAUAACUUUACUGUGUUUCUAUCUUUGGAAGUUAGCUUUGGAAAAAGAUCAGAAGAUUUCCUUCCCUUGUCAUGCCUAUAUUAUUCUGAUUUUCUCUUGUCAUGAUGCAUGUAAAUGUACCCCAAGAGAUUUGAGGAACAUAGAGGAAGUCUCACCCUCUCCUUUAGGUUGCCAUUCCAUAAACUUUUCUUGAAACUUCUGUAUGUUACACUGAACCAGAAAGAUGAGGAAUUUGGCCAAUAAAGACACUUCUCUCAACAGGUCACUGUACAGGUCACCACAAUAUCACAAAUGGUCAAAAUCAUACAUUAAGUUAACUUUUGGAACCUAGUAUCUGAGAAGUCAAUUGUUCAUUUUGAAUUAUAAUUAUUUACCUCUUCUAACAGCCUAUCAGACAAUUACAGUCAACAGAGGAAUAUUCAGAACUUCUGACUUAGGUGGGCAUAUGGCAGAUAAAGAACAAAAGCUGUUUAGAAUGAGAGAGAAACUGAAGGGUAGCUCUAGAAAGUGCUAAAGGCAGUCAAAAGCCAAUCAGCUUUAACUGCCAACCAUUCAGUUAACAGCAUAACUCCCUAACUGACUGACCACAUGGCCACUCCUCACAGAUGAGACUACAUCAAGUGGUAAUGUGGACAGUUCACCUGCUGAAACCGAGAACAUGUCCACCUUAUCUCUACUCUGUCCAAAUCUGCCAGCUCCAGAAGGCUGAGAGUGCAAGAGAGUGUAAGACCUCUGCUUCUUUGGUAGAUGCAUAGGAAACACAGGAAUUUAGGGGUUAGCCAAACAAUAGGAUGGGGAAAUUGUCCUCACCACUUUUGGUGUUCUGAAGACACAAAAUUAAGAGGGAGGAAGGGAUAAUGUUUGAAGUUCGGUGGGGUGGUGGAAGACUAUUCUGGUCCAAAUACCUCCUGCUAUUGACCCAGUGAUAAGUGAAGCAGUUGGCCUCAGAGAAGCCACAUAAAUGAGCAUUUGAUUUACUAUGGGAGGCAGAGACGAAAGAGCAGCAGGAAGCUGGACAAGAGCAGUCAAGGAGUUUGGCACUGGCACUGCCAUCCAUCCAUCUGCAUGCCAGAGACAGUGUCAUCCUGGGUUUUUCCCUACAGUCUCCCCUGACCCUGGACAGCUAAUAACCUAAGAUUUGCCUAGGGAAGAAAUUCUGAGGGCCUGCUGUGGCAUGGGAAUCAUCCUAAAUUAUAACAUGAGUGUAAUUACAUACACACAUUUUAAAGAUAAGGUAUCUUUAAAGAUUUAUUAGUUUAUUAUGCCUUUAUAGUUGGAGGGUGAAGAAGAAAAUAUCAAAGUUCUUUAUCUAACAAAAUGACUCAUGGAAAUUAAUUUAUAUAUCAUUACCCAUAAUAACCAGUUAGCAUAAAAGGCAAUUAGAAAUGGAUGGUUGUAUUCCACAAGAGACAUAUUCUGAAGUCAUGUUUUUUGCCUUAAAGUCUAUUAAUGUAGCUGCUUUUUGGUUAAUAUUUUCGAUAAAGCUUGUUUUUUCUCCUUUUGUUUUCAACCUUUCUGUCACUUUAUAGUUUCGGUAUAUCUCUCGAAUACAGCAUAUAGUUAAUUUUAAAAUCCAGCCUAGCAAUAUUUAUUUUUUACUGUACAACUUGAUCUCCUUAUAUUUAUGUAAUUGUUAAUAUAAUUAAUUUAAAAUCUAUCAGCUUUAUCUUUUUCUAUUUGUCCUCUUUGUUCUGUGUUUCUAUUUCUCUCUUGGGUUUUUUUUAAUUGGUUAUCUUUUAAACUAUUACAAUAUUAUGUUUUUUUAUUGUUUUAUAUAUACUUUGCUUCAAUUUUUUCCUUCUAAAUUUUUAAUUGUAUUUCACUUCGUUUCUAUCCUUUUUGUGAUUAGUUUAAAAAUUACAAUCUUAAUCCUUAGUUUAUCAAGCAUAGUAAUAAUUAUGACCCUUACUGUCAUACUGAACAGUAUAAAGACCUUGGGAUACUUUUAUUCCAUUUAGUCUCACUCUACAUAUAUGCUGUUAUCAUUUGUUAUAGUUCUAAGCAUUUUUAAACCCCAUAAGACUUUUUAUGUAUUUUUAUAUGGCCAAUGUUAAUUUAGAUUUAUCUAUGUAUUUACUGUUAUCUUUCUCUAUUUUUGUGUCUGUCUUUCCAUGUGGAAUCGUUUUCCUUCUGCUUGAGAAACAUCGUUUAGAGAUUUCUUCUGUGUGGGUCCCUGGUGAAGAACUGUUUCAGCUUUUUUUCUCUGAAACAGUCUUUAUUUUUCUUUAAUUAUUGAAGACUAUUUUUAUUAAGUAUAGGAGUCAAGAAGCAGUUACUAUCAGAACAUUGAAGAUAUUUGCAUUUCAAAAGUCAGUCAGUAGUCUAAUUGCUGCUGAUUUUAAUGUAACCUCUCUUUUUUCUCUGGGUGUUUGUAUAACUUUUGUCUUGUUUUUGAUUUUCUGCAAUUUUAGUGUGAUCUCUCUAGUAUUGAUGUCCCUUUAUUUACCUUGUAUGGAAUUGGUUGGCUUUCAAGAAUCUGUUGGUUUGUGUGUUUCAUGUUGUCUCAAACAUUACUUCUUCUAAUAUUUACCCUGUUUUCUCUCUCUUCUACUUCUGAGACUAACUAAAAAAUAAGGUAGACCUUCUCACUCUAUUUGCUAUUUUUUCACUUAUGUUUAAUAUUACUGUUUUCCUUCUUGUUCUACAUUUUUAAUUUUUUCUUCUUCCCGAUCUACCACUUUACUAAUUCUCUUUUCAGCUAUGAUUGAUCUCCUGUUAAAUUCUUCCACUAAGUUUUAAAUUUUAGUUAUUUUAAUUUUGUUUCAGAAUUUCUUUUUUUUCUACCAGGUGAAGAAAACGUUUCCAGGAAGAGGGAAGGAUCAACUGUUGUUGAUAGAUUAGAUAAAUGUUGAUAGAUACAUAAAGGAAGGUAAGAAUUGACCACUGGAUUUAGCAAAAUUAGUCAUUGGUGACCUUGACAAGAGCAGUUGCAGGGGAGUGAUGGGGAUAAAAGCAUGAUUUUAGUAAGUUCUAGAUCAGAGACUGAAUAUGCAAAUGGACAAUGGCCAGAUAACAAAUAAAAGUAGAACUCUGACCCACAAUUUGUAGUAACCAGCCUAGAAAACCAACCCAUUAUCUACACUAACCAGCCCAGGAAGUCAACCUACUAUCUAUAAGUCAGAGUUGUAGAAGGUCAACCAUUUUCUCAGCAAACAAUCCAGGAAGCCAAACAAAAACCCUUGUAAUCAUCAGUCCCAAAUGGCCAGGACUUGGUUAAUAACUUUAAUUUUUGUCCCUGCUUCUAACUUAGGACCAACCAGAGAAGGCCAAAAAUGCACCUUUAACCAGUCAUAUAGGACAUCCUGCUUCUACAGCUGGAUGCUGGAAGCUGUUAGCCUGCCUACAGCUUCCCCAUGCCAGCAGCCUCCAAUCACAGCAUACCUGAAGCCUUCCCUUUUUUCCAUAAAGCUUUCCCAGUCUUCUGCUUGCCUUUGAGUCUCUACUAAACCUAAAGGAUGGUGGCUGACACCUUUGCUAUAGCAAGUUCUGAAUAAAUAGCUUUAGCUUAUUCUCAUUUGGAUAGGUUUAUCAUUUUAGAAUUUCUGUUUGACUCUUCUCUAAGUCCGUUUUGUCACUUUUUAUAAUUUCCAUUUUGUAGUUAAAAUGUUAAACCAAUAAAAAACCAAAAUGUUUCCCCUUCUGCAUGAC